UACGGGAGGCAGCAGUGGGGAAUAUUGCACAAUGGGCGCAAGCCUGAUGCAACCAUGCCGCGUGUAUGAAAAAGGCCUUCGGGUUGUAAAGUACUUUCAGUCGUGAGGAAGGUGUUAAGGUUAAUAACCUUAGCAAUUGACGUUAGCGACAGAAGAAGCACCGGCUAACUCCGUGCCAGCAGCCGCGGUAAUACGGAGGGUGCGAGCGUUAAUCGGAAUUACUGGGCGUAAAGGGCACGCAGGCGGUUAAUUAAGUUGGAUGUGAAAUCCCCGGGCUUAACCUGGGAAUGGCAUUCAAGACUGGUUAGCUAGAGUCUUGUAGAGGGGGUAGAAUUCCAUGUGUAGCGGUGAAAUGCGUAGAGAUGUGGAGGAAUACCGGUGGCGAAGGCGGCCCCUGGACAAAGACUGACGCUCAUGUGCGAAAGCGUGGGGAGCAAACAGGGAUUAGAUACCCGU
RNAcentral lists this ribosomal RNA (456 nucleotides) under uncultured bacterium. Its description in RNAcentral is "bacterial SSU rRNA". It matches the Rfam family "Bacterial small subunit ribosomal RNA", at positions 340 to 789 of the family's 1533-position model. The record is from RNAcentral.